GAUGAACGCUGGCGGCGUGCCUAAUACAUGCAAGUCGAGCGAACGGACGAGAAGCUUGCUUCUCUGAUGUUAGCGGCGGACGGGUGAGUAACACGUGGAUAACCUACCUAUAAGACUGGGAUAACUUCGGGAAACCGGAGCUAAUACCGGAUGAUAUUUUGAACCGCAUGGUUCAAAAGUGAAAGACGGUCUUGCUGUCACCUAUAGAUGGAUCCGCGCUGCAUUAGCUAGUUGGUAAGGUAACGGCUUACCAAGGCAACGAUGCAUAGCCGACCUGAGAGGGUGAUCGGCCACACUGGAACUGAGACACGGUCCAGACUCCUACGGGAGGCAGCAGUAGGGAAUCUUCCGCAAUGGGCGAAAGCCUGACGGAGCAACGCCGCGUGAGUGAUGAAGGUCUUCGGAUCGUAAAACUCUGUUAUUAGGGAAGAACAUAUGUGUAAGUAACUGUGCACAUCUUGACGGUACCUAAUCAGAAAGUCACGGCUAACUACGUG
RNAcentral lists this ribosomal RNA (497 nucleotides) under uncultured bacterium. RNAcentral describes it as "partial 16S ribosomal RNA". It matches the Rfam family "Bacterial small subunit ribosomal RNA", at positions 28 to 507 of the family's 1533-position model. The record is from RNAcentral.